CAGAGGGUGCGAGCGUUAAUCGGAUUUACUGGGCGUAAAGGGCGCGUAGGCGGUGAGAUGUGUAUGAUGUGAAAGCCCCGGGCUUAACCUGGGAAGUGCAUCGUAAACUAUCUGACUGGAGUAUAUGAGAGGGUGGUGGAAUUUCCGGUGUAGCGGUGAAAUGCGUAGAGAUCGGAAGGAACGUCAAUGGCGAAGGCAGCCACCUGGCAUAAUACUGACGCUGAGGCGCGAAAGCGUGGGGAGCGAACAGGAUUAGAUACCCUGGUAGUCCACGCUGUAAACGAUGAGGACUAAAGGUUGGUAGGGGAACCUAUCAGUCUUGAAGCUAACGCGAUAAGUCUUCCGCCUGGGAAGUACGGCCGCAAGGUUG
RNAcentral lists this ribosomal RNA (370 nucleotides) under uncultured organism. RNAcentral's name for it is "bacterial SSU rRNA". It matches the Rfam family "Bacterial small subunit ribosomal RNA", at positions 526 to 896 of the family's 1533-position model. The record is from RNAcentral.